UCAAACUUGGUCAUUUAGAGGAAGUAAAAGUCGUAACAAGG
This 41-nucleotide ribosomal RNA is filed under the name Rhizophagus clarus. Its description in RNAcentral is "partial 5.8S ribosomal RNA". RNAcentral also lists the same sequence under 2 other names. Lineage: Eukaryota; Fungi; Glomeromycota; Glomeromycetes; Glomerales; Glomeraceae. The record is from RNAcentral.